RNAcentral lists this ribosomal RNA (353 nucleotides) under uncultured bacterium. RNAcentral's name for it is "bacterial SSU rRNA". It matches the Rfam family "Bacterial small subunit ribosomal RNA", at positions 151 to 520 of the family's 1533-position model. The record is from RNAcentral.
UGGAAACGACUGCUAAUACCGCAUAAGCCCACGGGUCGGCAUCGACCAGAGGGAAAAGGAGCAAUCCGCUUUGAGAUGGCCUCGCGUCCGAUUAGCUGGUUGGUGAGGUAAUGGCCCACCAAGGCGACGAUCGGUAGCCGGACUGAGAGGUUGAACGGCCACAUUGGGACUGAGACACGGCCCAGACUCCUACGGGAGGCAGCAGUGGGGAAUAUUGCACAAUGGGGGAAACCCUGAUGCAGCGACGCCGCGUGGAGGAAGAAGGUCUUCGGAUUGUAAACUCCUGUUGUUGAGGAAGAUAAUGACGGUACUCAACAAGGAAGUGACGGCUAACUACGUGCCAGCAGCCGCGG